This 501-nucleotide ribosomal RNA is filed under the name uncultured bacterium. Its description in RNAcentral is "partial 16S ribosomal RNA". It matches the Rfam family "Bacterial small subunit ribosomal RNA", at positions 29 to 523 of the family's 1533-position model. The record is from RNAcentral.
AUUGAACGCUGGCGGCAUGCCUUACACAUGCAAGUCGAACGGCAGCACGGGCGCUUGCACCUGGUGGCGAGUGGCGAACGGGUGAGUAAUACAUCGGAACGUACCUUAUCGUGGGGGAUAACGCAGCGAAAGCUGUGCUAAUACCGCAUACGCCCUGAGGGGGAACGCGGGGGAUCGAAAGACCUCGCGCCAUUAGAGCGGCCGAUGCCUGAUUAGCUUGUUGGUGGGGUAAAAGCCCACCAAGGCGACGAUCAGUAGCUGGUCUGAGAGGACGAUCAGCCACACUGGGACUGAGACACGGCCCAGACUCCUACGGGAGGCAGCAGUGGGGAAUUUUGGACAAUGGGGGCAACCCUGAUCCAGCAAUGCCGCGUGAGUGAAGAAGGCCUUCGGGUUGUAAAGCUCUUUUGUCAGGGAAGAAACACCGGCUCUAACACAGUCCGGGAAUGACGGUACCUGAAGAAUAAGCACCGGCUAACUACGUGCCAGCCGCCGCGGUAA